CAAGUCGAGCGAGGCGGCCCGCAAGGGUCAGUCGAGCGGCGAACGGGUGAGUAACGCGUGGAUAACCUGCCCAGAGGUGGGGGAUAACCCGGGGAAACUCGGGCUAAUACCGCAUGAUACCGAGAGGUCAAAGGGGGCUCGCAAGGGCUCUCGCCAUUGGAGGGGUCCGCGUCCGAUUAGCUAGUUGGUAGGGUAAUGGCCUACCAAGGCGACGAUCGGUAGCCGGCCUGAGAGGGUGAUCGGCCACACUGGAACUGAGACACGGUCCAGACUCCUACGGGAGGCAGCAGUGGGGAAUUUUGCGCAAUGGGCUAACGCCUGACGCAGCAACGCCGCGUGGAGGAUGAAGGUCUUUGGAUUGUAAACUCCUGUCAGCAGGGAAAAAGCGAAUCGGCCUAACACGCCGGUGAGUUGAUUGUACCUGCAGAGGAAGCCCCGGCUAACUCUGUGCCAGCAGCCGCGGUAAUACAGAGGGGGCAAGCGUUAUUCGGAAUUAUUGGGCGUAAAGGGCGCGUAGGCGGCUUGGCAAGUGGAUGGUGAAAUCCCUCGGCUUAACCGAGGAACUGCCGUCCAAACUGCUUUGCUUGAGGCCGGGAGAGGCGAGUGGAAUUCCCAGUGUAGCGGUGAAAUGCGUAGAUAUGGGGAGGAACACCAGUGGCGAAGGCGGCUCGCUGGACCGGUUCUGACGCUGAUGCGCGAAAGCGUGGGGAGCAAACGGGAUUGAUACCCCGGUAGUCCACGCUGUAAACGAUGAGUGCUUGGUGUAGCGGGUAUCGACCCCUGCUGUGCCGAAGUCAACACAUUAAGCACUCCGCCUGGGGAGUACGGUCGCAAGG
This 836-nucleotide ribosomal RNA is filed under the name uncultured Bacillota bacterium. Its description in RNAcentral is "bacterial SSU rRNA". It matches the Rfam family "Bacterial small subunit ribosomal RNA", at positions 58 to 893 of the family's 1533-position model. Lineage: Bacteria; Bacillati; Bacillota. The record is from RNAcentral.